CGUGGGUAACCUGCCUGUAAGACUGGGAUAACUCCGGGAAACCGGGGCUAAUACCGGAUGGUUGUUUGAACCGCAUGGUUCAGACAUAAAAGGUGGCUUCGGCUACCACUUACAGAUGGACCCGCGGCGCAUUAGCUAGUUGGUGAGGUAACGGCUCACCAAGGCGACGAUGCGUAGCCGACCUGAGAGGGUGAUCGGCCACACUGGGACUGAGACACGGCCCAGACUCCUACGGGAGGCAGCAGUAGGGAAUCUUCCGCAAUGGACGAAAGUCUGACGGAGCAACGCCGCGUGAGUGAUGAAGGUUUUCGGAUCGUAAAGCUCUGUUGUUAGGGAAGAACAAGUGCCGUUCAAAUAGGGCGGCACCUUGACGGUACCUAAACCAGAAAGCCACGGCUAAACUACGUGCCAGCAGCCGCGGUAAUACGUAGGUGGCAAAGCGUUGUCCGGAAUUAUUGGGCGUAAAGGGCUCGCAGGCGGUUUCUUAAGUCUGAUGUG
RNAcentral lists this ribosomal RNA (498 nucleotides) under Bacillus subtilis group sp. Its description in RNAcentral is "bacterial SSU rRNA". It matches the Rfam family "Bacterial small subunit ribosomal RNA", at positions 116 to 596 of the family's 1533-position model. The record is from RNAcentral. Lineage: Bacteria; Bacillati; Bacillota; Bacilli; Caryophanales; Bacillaceae.